UUUGUACUCCCUCCAUCCGGAAAUACUUGUCGUAGAAAUGGUUGUAUCUAGACUUAUUUUAGUUAUAGAUACAUCCAUUUUAUCCAUUUCUAGGACAAGUAUUUCCGGACGGAGGGAGUAUGUU
Molecule: non-coding RNA, 124 nt
Organism: Triticum urartu
Lineage: Eukaryota; Viridiplantae; Streptophyta; Magnoliopsida; Poales; Poaceae
Source: Rfam